This 34104-nucleotide long non-coding RNA is filed under the name Triticum aestivum (bread wheat). RNAcentral describes it as "long non-coding RNA (TAES_LNC012453)". Lineage: Eukaryota; Viridiplantae; Streptophyta; Magnoliopsida; Poales; Poaceae. The record is from RNAcentral.
ACACAUACAUAAAGCUCUCUAGUCAUGUCUCCCUGCCACACACAAACUUGACAUGUGCCCUCUAACAUUCCGGUAGGCUAGUCGCCCUAUAUCUUUGACUUGCACACAGACACAAUUUCGAUGGCUCUCUUCAUCGAUCUCGCACCCACCCACUUGAUCCUCUCUUCGACUCUAUCGAUAGCUAUGUCCCCUCCCUCUCUUAUCGUGGAUUGCCCGACCCUCUAUGUAUGAUAUGGAUAGGCCUCCAUUUCACACACAUUGCAUGCAAAAUUUUGUUUGAGAUGCCAUCGACACAUAUUCCCACAAAUAAUUCAUGAAAUAAACCCCCACCCCACCCCCACCCCCACCACAAAACAAAAAACCCUCACGAAUGUUGUUUGUAUCUCACACACACACCCACGUAGGUGGGGGACAUGCACGAAGAGAAGAGGUGCAUGCACGGUGCACGUGCUCCCCUCUCUUUCCCAACCACACCCGCGCGGGUACACGGUGGAGCUCAUUUCUUUAUGAAAAAGGCAGCCCACGUGGUAAUUUGGCACGUGUACUGGUUGUCCACUUGGUGGAGGGAGGAUCGUCUACCAUAGGUGAACAAACAAAUUGCGACUUGAUGCGUUAUGUUAAAUUAAAAAAAGAGGCAAACCAUGUGGGGCCUACCUUAGAGGCAAGGCUCUAUACACUGGAGUACUUUUGAUGUGUCCCGUCAACUCAUAGAACAAGGAGAAGCUUUCUUAGUACGCCGUCUCCCCCGCCCACGGGCGCGGUGGCUCGCAGGAUGAGGUGAAGCUUGCUCCGCCUUAUGACCGCUCCCUCACCCAUGCGCGCGGUGGCUCGCCGGACGAGGAGAAAAAUUUACUACUCCCUCUGUUUACUCUUCGUCCCUACUACCUUGGUUAUAGAGAUUAUAUCAUAUUGUUUGGAAUAUAUAUGUCCUUUAGUAGAUUUCAAUAUGAAGUACUAGUACAUACUCCAAACACUGAUGUAUAUAGACGUAUUUUAGAGUGUUGAUUCACUCAUUUUGCUCCGUAUGUAGUAGCACUCUCCCUCGCCCCUCGACCCUCGCCCACGUGGUGGACGUGCAGCAAUUCAUUCGGUGUCAUAUAGCCAGAAUGAUAUAUAAUACACUACCAUUAUUGCUCGACUUCCCAAAGAGGCGAAGAGCCAAUCGCAAGGUUAAUAUUUUGGAGAUGCCAAGCACAAGGUCAUAAGAGAACGAGUAGUAGGUGCCGCGUCAUUUAUAAAUAACGUUUUUUUCUUCAGUGGCACGUUCGCAAUAUGAUAGGUUCAUAUGGAGAGAAAAUGAAACUGCUCCACUAUAUACAUAGUCAGGACGGGCCAGCCUACACGGUUGCUUGCUGGGGUUUCUCUCUUCACACUCUCUCGCACAAAACGACUGUGGCCACAUCUCUAACAUCCCGGCGGAUCACGUCCGCUUGGGGAAGGGGUGGAUUCUUAGUGUAGAUGCGGUGGCCGUCACCGACGGCGAAAACCCACUGCCGGCACGUCUCGAUCAGGGGUCCCCGCUGUUCUCUCUCACAAAGCCGGUGAGGUUGCCUUCAUCCCUUGCUCAAUGCCGUGACGUGGGCAGUUGCCGCCUCCCACCGACCUCCUCAAGGUUGAGCUACGUCCCUCAGGUACAACUCCCUCUACAGCCGGCUUGCACCACUGCUCCAGCUGCCCACAUCACUCCAUGUGGAUAUUUCUCUACUUCUUUGCCCCGCACAUACCUGAUACCUCUACUAGCUUCUACCUACUGUAUUUGUGAUUAGUUUAUGUCUCAUCAACUAGUCCCAGUAAUCUUAUUCUAAUCACGCUUCUUCAAUUUCUUUGCCACGGGGAUGCUCAUCUCGAUUUUGGUGAAACUGCACAAAAUGAUCUGGUGGCCAAAAGGUUGCAAACUUCAUUUAUUAGGAAGCUCCAACGUUGCCAGCAAAUUGAAGCCUGGUCAAGGUUCACGGUUCAAGGGCUAGGGACUGCAUGGAUCGUUUUUGUCUUUAGCUGCCUCUGUUCCAAAAUAAGUGUCAACUUUAGUAGUAGUACAACUUUGUACUAAAGUUUGCACAAAGUUGAGACACUUAUUUUGGAACGGAGGGAGUACAUAUUUUCUAUGAUCAGUCAAUCAUUGAGAUGCAAUAGCAUGCAUGUUAGUCUCCUUUGUAUUUGAUGAAAUGUUGCAACGGGCAACCUUGGACGCAAGAUACAUCUAAUAGGAGCUGGAAGCUUCAUAGCAUUGUACAAAUUUAUCUCGCUGAUAAAUUAUGGUACGUACUAUACUAGUACUUCCUCCGUUCCUAAAUAUAAGUCUUUGUAGAGAUUUCACCAUGAACCACAUGCGGAUGCAUAUAGAUUUAUUUUUAAGUGUAGAUUCAUUCAUUUUGUUUCGUAUGUAGUUCACCUAGUGGAAUCUCUACAAAGACUUAUCUACUAGUAAUAGCUAGCCCCCACUACUAGGAAUUCUCUAUCCUCUCCUUGAGCCACAUCAUCAAAAUUGAUGUAGCCAUUAGAUGAAGUAAAUCAGUCCAUAAUAGCCGUCUGAUCUAGACGUUAAAAGGCUCCGCACUAAGCCACAUGCAAGCAUGCAGAAAUACCGUGGCACAUGCAUAUGAGUCGGUUUUAAAUCACAUCAACAUGUCUGCAUGCAAGCAUGCACCGGUAGCAUGCAUGUAAGUGAGCUUUUAAGUCCCAUUAACAUGUCAAAAAGAAAAAUAUAAUCACAUUAUGUAGUAGGAGUUGGAUGAUCUUUUUUCCUUACGUGGGUUGAUAUAAAUGAUGAUGGGAGUUUAUUUAGUUUGGCUACCACAUUUGUCAUGCGGUUAUAGAGUUUUUUUUAGUUCUAUGAAAUCGAUAAUUUUGCGCAGAGAGAUAUACCACUGUUCCGUGGCAAAGCGCGGGGACUCAUCUAGUAAUAUUUAGGAAUGGAGGGAGUACUAUGUAAAGAGUUGGGUGUCGCACGGUGAUAGUGUGAGGUGGGCCAUGUAAACACUGAGCCUGCGUGUUUUCACUGCUCUUGCACUCCUCCGCUGUAAGAAUGGAGAAAAUUGUAAUCUACUAUCUCCUUUCGCCGAAAGCAUGGGACAUCCAGUAGUCCUACCACCUCAGUAAUAAAGACCAAUGAGCCGUCAAAUCACAUAGACCCAACAGUAAGUUGGACGGACGAAGCAACCAUCACCCUUGCGCCAGUGAGAGGUCGCGUCCGCUCCGUCCGGGCAUGAAUGCGGCACCAAUUCUUUGGAGCGGCGCUGACCGUUUUGGGCGGGGAGUGCGCGCGGGCGAUGGAGGGGCUUUGGGAGGGCCAGGCUGGUCAGGUGCGGGCGUGGCAGCUGUCCGCAUGUCCCUACCAGACACGCCCGGAAACGAGAGGAUGCAUUGACUCUCGCGGCUAAAAUCGUACACUACACACCAUCUCUCUGUAGGAGUAGGUCGAUCUGUCGCACUCUCUAACACACACAUGCUAUUAAACACGCACACGCACACGCACGCACAUUGGUCCCGUUGCACCUUCUAACGUGACUUAUUACACCUGGACGGAGGGAGUAGUAAGUAUACAAGAUACGGUGGCACACUGAUUUAAGUCGAAUACAAGUGCCCAAAAUUUGUGUGCAUGUUAUAAUAAGGAUUCACUUAAAAUAGUAUGUGAGCGGACUGAGGGAUCAAUUGGACAGUGCUCCCGAGCAGUAGCGAGAUGUGUGAGGUAAGAUACACCGCUGGCACUUUUAUUUUUUCUUAUUAAUUUGUUUGUUUCACCCUCUGACUGGUGGGACCCAACGUACUACGUGGAGAAAGGUAAGGUGACUAAGGCUGCAUUAUUUCUGCACCACCGUGGAUAGUCUUACCACCAAAGCCACAAGACACGGUUAUGAUUGAAAUCCCAAUGACUCCCACACACACAAAAAAAACAUGGCAUGCUUGUCACACGAAUGCAGGAAUGUAUAAAAGGUUAUUUCCUCUCGUUGAACAUAACGGGAGGGUUGUGUAGCUGGUUAGCCUGUUCGCUCAUCAAACUUGAGGUCUCGGAUUCGAUAACUACACAUGAGCAUAAUUUUUGCCAAGAGGAUUCUUUGACUGGUCAAAAUGUUUUCUAGGGUUUGCAUGCUUCCCACUCUCUCUCCAGUAUAUAUAUACACGCUGGAGCCUCAGCACUUGUAGUUGCUCUCUUCAAACUCUCUCGCCCUCUCCCGCUGGAGCCUCAGCGCUUGUAGUUGCUCUCUUCACACUCUCUUGCCCUCUCCAGAUCUAAACAAGACUUCGUUGGCCUCUCUCUCCCCUCACUGCUGCUCAAAGAGCCGACAAGAUCCGUCCACCGGGAAGGGAAGGAGGCUUAACACUAUCGCCGUCGGCGAGGGAGGGAAUCCGCUACUUGCGCGACUGUUCACUUUCCACCCAGCGGCGGUGCGGGAGGGCCUCCGACCCCUUCUUCUUCGUCACCGUCCCGUCGCCCACCGAACCACGCCCCAAGAACCUUAAGGUAUUUUUUACUUACUCCACAUGCAUUGCUCUAGCUGCAUGUAUACCAUGAAUCUAGGACGUGGUUCAAAGAGGAAAGGAGUGGGGGAAAGUACUGGGAAAAGUUGUAUAUAGCAUGAAUCUAGGACAUGGUUCAAAGAGGAAAUGAAGGGGGAAAGUUGUAUAGCAUUAAUCUAGGACGUGGUUCAAAGAGGAAAGGUGUAAUGCCCCGGAUCCGAUGCGCCAGGUGUCUGCCAGUUAUUCACGGUUUUUGUCGUGUCAUUUGCUUGCGUUUAGCAUUUUAUCAUGUCAUCAUGUGCAUUUCAUUUUGCAUACGUGUUCGUUUCUUGCAUCCGAGCAUUUUCCCCGUUGUCCGUUUUGCAAUCCGGCACUUCUAUGCCCUUCGGCGUUCCCCUUUUGUCUCCUGUUGUGAGUGGGUGUUAAACUUUCUCGGAAUGGCCCGAGGUUUGCCAAGCGGCCUUGGUUUAGCACCGGUAUACCGCCUGUCAAGUUUCGUGCCAUUUGGAGUUCGUUUGAUACUCCAACGGUUAACCGGGUAAUCGUAAAAGCCUCCUUCUCUUUGCAGCCCAACACCCUUCCAAAGUGGCGCAAAACCCAUCUAACUCCUCUCCAUGCUGUCGGUCGUUCGAUCACGAUCGUGUGGGCGAAAACCGCUCCUCAUUUGGACUCUCCUAGCUCCCUAUGCCUAUAUAAACGUCCUCCCCGUCCAUUUUCGCGGAUCAAACCCUAGCAAACUCCUCCCCGCGCCGCCGGACAUGUCCAUCCGCGCCGGACAUGUCCGCCGGACACGUCGCUUCGACCAAUGGCGUCACGCCAUGUCACCCCACCGCGAAUCUCCUCCAACCGCCGGCCGCCACCUCACCCUCUCUCUCCUCCCUCCACCGCGCGGCCCGCGGGACCAGGAUCGGGCCCGGGCGAGCCCGCGCCGCCACCGCCGUCUGCCUCCCGGCCCUCGCCCCGGGCUCUGCCCCGUGCCUUCCGGCCCGCUCGCCGCUGCCGCCCUUCACCGCCUCACCGCCGGACUCCGUCACCGGCCGCCGCCACCAUCGCCGGCGCCCUGCGCCCAGCCCCAACCGCCGCCUCCUCGCCUCCGGCCGAGCGCUGCCCUGGUGCCCCCGCGUCNNNNNNNNNNNNNNNNNNNNNNNNNNNNNNNNNNNNNNNNNNNNNNNNNNNNNNNNNNNNNNNNNNNNNNNNNNNNNNNNNNNNNNNNNNNNNNNNNNNNNNNNNNNNNNNNNNNNNNNNNNNNNNNNNNNNNNNNNNNNNNNNNNNNNNNNNNNNNNNNNNNNNNNNNNNNNNNNNNNNNNNNNNNNNNNNNNNNNNNNNNNNNNNNNNNNNNNNNNNNNNNNNNNNNNNNNNNNNNNNNNNNNNNNNNNNNNNNNNNNNNNNNNNNNNNNNNNNNNNNNNNNNNNNNNNNNNNNNNNNNNNNNNNNNNNNNNNNNNNNNNNNNNNNNNNNNNNNNNNNNNNNNNNNNNNNNNNNNNNNNNNNNNNNNNNNNNNNNNNNNNNNNNNNNNNNNNNNNNNNNNNNNNNNNNNNNNNNNNNNNNNNNNNNNNNNNNNNNNNNNNNNNNNNNNNNNNNNNNNNNNNNNNNNNUCGCCCCGUCGCCCGCCUCUUCUCCGCCACCGGCCGGCCACCGCGCCACCCCGCAUCCCCGACUCCGGUCGCCGGACCGGCCCCGCCUCAGCUCGCUGGCCCACCCGACUCCAGCCAGAUCCGGCCAGGAAUGGGUGCCCCGCGACCGGAUCCGUCCUUCCCAGGCUUCCCCAACCUCUCCUCAAGCUCCGGCCACCUUAUACCUCAACUCCGGCGAUCCUCGAAAUCCGUGCAGCCCGAGGUUGACUUUUCCCCCUCCGAAAAUUCUGCUAAGUCCCCAAAGUUUUUGCAUUAUCAUGCCAUGUUCGACCUGCUGUAUCUCCAUGCAUGUAGCUCCAUUUUGUGUGUGUAAUAUGUAAAAUUGUUCAUCUCAACGAGUACAUCAUUUCAUUCCAUUGCAUCAUGUUCAUUUGAGUUCAUCUUGAUGCCUAAAUCAUUGUUGUAAGAGUGCUUCAUGAUGUUUUCUGCUGUCUGUUAACAGAACAUGCACUUUUGUCAUUUUUGCCAUGAUUGAUGUGUGCAUCCUAUGAGGUUGAUGUCUACAUGUGUUUUGAUCUAUGCCAUGUCUUCUUUACAUAGGUGCUUAUCAUGUAUUUUUGUGAUCAAUGUGGUGUCUACCACAAGCAUGCAAACUAGGGUUCGUAAUGUUGCUGAUUUUAGUCCCUGUUCUGCUGUUAUUUUGAUGCCAUGUAAACAUGAAGCUACAGAGUGAUCCAUGCAUAUUUUGAGAUACUUCAGUAAGGAUGUUUUGAACAUAUGAUUGUCCUCUAUCCAUUCAUGCCCCUUCUUGCAAUUAUGGAGUAGUCUAGCAUUUCAUUUUCGUGCUCUACUUUUGCUUCAAAAUAUUUCCUGGCAGAUUGUUUACAUGUUAUUCAAUUUUGCCAAGGUUGUUGUAGUUGAUCCUUGCACGCUAUGAACUUGUUCUUGCAUUGGUUUGUUUCGCAAACAUGUCUUCUUGAUGAUGCUAUGCUUAUCUUGUCAUGCAAUGAUUUGUGGUGAGUGAAUCGAGCUUGUUAAAUAGUGUACUUGCUGUUGCUGUUUUGCUAGGCUGAAUCUGUUAUUUCGUGAUGCUAUAUAAACAUGUUGCUACUAACCAUACUAUGCAUAAUCUGGAGAUGAUCACUAAAUGUGUUUUGUUCUACAUGUUAUGCUUUAUCCAUCCAUUCCCCUGGUUGCAUUUAUAUCUUGCUUUAACUUGUUGUAAUCUUGCUCCAAAGUUGCUUCAUAAUGUUGCUGUCAGCCUGUUAACUUUAAGUUCAGUUGUUGCCAUGUGUUUUCCUAGUGUUCCAUGCACCCUAUGGACUUGCUCUUGCCAUGCCUAGCUUCUUAAACAUGUCUUCUUACUGUUGGUUGCCUUGCCAUGCCAUGUACUGCUCUGUAGUGAGUUGCACAAGCUCAUCUACAUGCCUUCAUAAUUAUGUUCCUGCCAUGUUUGAAUCUGUAAUAUAACUUGCUAUGUUUACAUGGGUGCCAUCAUAUUUUCUGAUCCUUUUUGGCUUAUAGUCAGUAAAGGACUUUGGUUCUAUGAUUUUAGUAGAUUCAUGCCAUGCCUUUGUUUGCCAUGAUAAGUUCCUGUAACAUGUUGUUUGAUAGCUCUAAACAUUGCAACCUGAUGUUAUUUUCUGCAAAGUCUGAACUGUUAUUAUUUGCAAUCUUGCCAUGUGUGUUUGAGCAUGUUCUAGUGAUUUCUGGAGAUAGCUCAGUGUUCAUGUUUUGUAAUGCUUUACCUGUACAUCAUGCCCAUACCUUUUGUUUUCUUGUUGAGGUCCUGUAGCAUAUCGUUUUGAUGCUUGCAAUAUGCCUAGUUGCUGUUUUGGACAGCUUGUCCUUUAAACUUGUAUAGUGUGUGCGUGUUGAACCGUUGCUCCGUUUUGAGUGUGCUCUAUAUGAAACUUGCUUGAUUUUGCAUGUAGUUUCAUAUUAUCAUGUUGCAUCCAUGAUUUGAGGUGUUUUCUUGAUGUUUGUUUCCAUUUUGCAUCAAUGCCAUGUUUAACUUGUUUUGCUCAUAUCUUCUAGGCCGUAGCCCCGAACUAAAUGAACUUUAUAUGUAACUUGACUAGAAUCUCGUGUAGAUCAUCUUGGUGCAUUUUAACUUGUUGUUUAACAACUUGAACAUAAGGGUUAUUCAGAUCUGGACCAAUUUGGAAAUUUGCAUAAGGGUUAUAUGUUGUUUCCGGCCUCAUUUAACUUUGCUUUGAUGUGUUGCUCUUGUAUGCAUCAUCUCUUGCCAUGAGUAGCUUCAUGUAGCUUUGUCAUGCAUCAUGCCUUGCUCAUGUGUGGUGUGUUUACUAUGUUGUAUGCUUCUUCUCGAUAGUUUCAUUUCGUUGCGAUCGUGAGGACUCGUUCGUCUGCGCUUGGUUCGGCUUCAGCCGUUCGUCUUCUUCAUGGACUCGUUCUUCUUCCUUGCGGGAUUUCAGGCAAGAUGACCGCUACCCUGGAUCUCACUACUAUCAUUGCUAUGCUAGUUGCUUCGUUCUAUCGCUAUGCUGCGUUACCUAUCUUUUGCUCGUCAAGCCUCUCAUAUUGCCAUGAACCUCUAAUCUUUGACACCCUUCCUAGCAAACCGUUGUUUGGCUAUGUUACCGCUUUGCUCAGCCCUCUUAUAGCAUUGCUAGUUGCAGGUGAAGUUGAAGAUUGCUCCAUGGUGGACAGGAUUUUGGUUGGGAUAUCACAAUAUCUCUUAUAUUAUUAAUGCAUCUAUAUACUUGGUAAAGGUUGGAAGACUCGGCCUUAUUCCUGGUGUUUUGUUCCACUCUUGUCGCCCUAGUUUCUGUCAUACCGGUGUUAUGUUCCCGGAUUUUGCGUUCCUUACGCGGUCGGGUGAUUUAUGGGAGCCCCUUGACAGUUCGCUUUGAAUAAAACUCCUCCAGCAAUGCCCAACCUUGGUUUUACCAUUUGCCUCACCUAGCCCUUUUUCCCUUGGGAGUCGCGCUCUCGAGGGUCAUCUUUAUUUUACCCUCCCCCCCGGGCCAGUGCUUGUCUAAGUAUUGGUCCAAAUCGAGCGAUGUCCGGCGCCCCUGGGCAACCAGGGUCUAUGCUAACCCGUCGUCUUGCUCAUCCGGUGUGCCCUGAGAACGAGAUAUGUGCAGCUCCUAUCGGGAUUGUCGGUGCAUCGGGAGGUCUUGCUCGUCUUGUUUUACCAUUGUCGAAAUGUCUUGUAAACCGGGAUUCCGAGUCUGAUCGGGUCUUCUUGGGAGAAGGUUUAUCCUUCGUUGAUCGUGAGAGCUUAUCAUGGGCUAAGUUGGGACACCCCUGCAGGGUAUAAUCUUUCGAAAGCCGUGCCUACGGUUAUUGGCAGAUGGGAAUUUUUUAAUGUCCGGUUGUAGAUAACUUGACAUCAGAUCCGAAUUAAAACGCAUCGACCGCGUGUGUAGCCGUGAUGGUCUCUUUUCGGCGGAGUCCGGGAAGUGAACAUGGUUUCUGGGUUAUGUUUGCCGUAAGUAGGACUUCCGGAUCACUUCUUGAUCAUUGCUAGCUUCAGGACCAUUCUGCUUGCUCUCUUCUCGCUCUUAUUUGCGUAAGUUAGCCACCAUAUUUGCAUAGUCGCUGCUGCAACCUCACCACUUUACCCCUUCCUUUCCCUUUAAGCUUUGCUAGUCUUGAUACCCAUGGUAAUGGGAUUGCUGAGUCCUCGUAGCUCACAGAUUACUACAACAACAGUUGCAGGUACAGGUUUUGCGAUGAUCGUGACGCGAGAGCGAUGUUUGAUUGUCUGGAGUUCUUCUUCUGCUUCUUCUUUGAUCAGGGAUAGGUUCCAGGUCGGCAGCCUGGGCUAGCAGGGUGGAUGUUGUUUGAGUUUCUGUUUGUGUUUCAUCCGUAGUCGAAUGUUGAUCUUAUGUAUUGUGAUGUUGUAUUCGUGUUGCAUUGUAUGCCUUAUGUAUGUAUCCCCAUCUAUUAUGUAAUGUUGAUGUAAUGAUAUCCACCUUGCAAAAGCGUUUUAAUAUGCGGGUCUAUCCUUGGUGGGACCUUCGAGUUCCUUUUGGAUAGGGUCGCAUAUUGGGCCUGACAAGUUGGUAUCAGAGCCAGGACCGACCCUAGGAGCCCCCUUGAUUGAUCGUGUAGUUUGGCCGUUGUUGAGUCUAGAAUAAACUAUUUUCCGAGUCUAGUUAUAUCGGAGAGUAGGAAUUCUUUUUACUCUUCAGCCCCUUCGUUGCUCUGGUAAGGAAUCUUGACGUAGGUGUUUUGAAUUACUCCUCUUCCCCUUCAAAUUUUUCUUUAGGUUCACGCAGUUGGUUUUCCGAUUGUUGUUCCUCAGCUCUUUCAUCCUGUGCACUUCCGUCAAGUUGACUCGACCCUCUUCAUCUUUGCAAGUUCAAUCCUCAGUUGUUUUCUUUCCCACCCUCCCACCCUUCUUCUUCUCGGAACCGGAGUCCGUAAUCGAGUAUCCAUCCGACUCGUGCGAAGUUUUUUCUCUCUCUCCUCAAUGAUUUCAACCGGUGUUUUCUCUUCAAGAUAUUUGUCGAUAUUGUGACACUCCAAAAUUUUUACUUUGGUUUCAGCAAAAACAUUGUGGUUUUUGAAAAGAGGCCAUUUAAAAUUUUCCAGAAAAACCUUCCUCUUAAGAAACUUUCUUUUCUUUGGCAAGGUUUUUAUUCUGGCUUCAAACUUUGGUGUUUGACCUUUUGAAACUUCUACUCUGUUGGUUCUCUCUCAAAAGUAUUUUUGGGAGUUUAAUCUUUUUCCUUUAAAAAGAAACUCCAUGAAAAUUUGGGAUUUUCAUAUCUUGGAACCACCAUGACUUGGCAUUCUUGCCCAUGUGGUAAAACCCCUCCAAAACCUCCCCUACAACUUGUGAUCAACCUAAAUUCUCUGUCCCAACUAAUCCAAACUGGUUUUGGAUUUUUAUUCCAAUUAUUUUUCCCUCAAUUCAAUUCUGAAAAUUAUUUGGAGCCUGAGAGAUUUUCAAAGCAAGUGCCCUAUUGCAUUUGAGUUUUGACCUCAAACCAAUUCUCCUGGAUUGUCCUUUGAACCCACAACCCAGAACCAUCUUGAUCCACUCCUCCUCUUUUCAAAUUUUUCAAAAUUCAGUCUCUGCAAGUUUGGACCAGAUUUGCCAAAUUUGGUGAAAUUCAUAUCUACACUCCUCCAAAAAUUCCACCAAAAUUCAGGCAGCCUAUUUGAGCAAGGAGAAGCCACUCCACCAAAAAUCAGCUCAAGGAAAAAUCACCAGAGGGCAAUUUCAUUCGGUCGAACACCUGGUGGGCACUGUUACUGUUCAUAGUUCAGAAAAUUCAGUUUUCAGUGUCAUCUUCAGUCCGUCAGUUUCAGUCACGCGGCCACAAUGCCCUUGGCACGUUCCUCGCCGCCUCUUCCUCUUGUCCGAAGCUGCACACACGUGCGUGGAGCCUUCCUGGCGUCGGUAGCGCGCUGGCUCGCCCUCGCCGGCGUCUUCUGCGGCGUCGGGACCUCCCGUGGCGGCCGACAGGAGGCACACCACGGCAGAACGCCGUUCCGCGCCGCCCAUCGCUCCCUGGCUCUCCGCGUGGCCUCAUGCACGCCAGCGCACGCCCGUAGCACAGCCACCGUGGCCGGCAAGCACGUAACGCGCUCUCCGCCGCCGACGGGCCCGCACCAUCACCGUUCCGUCGAGCUCGCCCUUAACACCCAAACCCCGGCCAGUUCAACACCAAAACGGACCCGUUGGACCUCCGUGAUGAUGCUCGACCCCAUAACCACCCCGACCGAGCACGGAGAGGGGGGCACCCCUUAGAGCGCGCGUAUAUAAAUUUGAUCCCAUGCUAUUCGAGAUUGUCAUCUCCCCGUCUCAAAAGUUUUUCUUGGACGAUGACUAGGGUGAUUCCUAGCAUCGAGAGGUAGGAUGGGUGUGUACCGGUUAGCUGUGUUUUCUUCUGAAAUACCGUAAACGGAACUAGUCCUUCGUGACUACGGAAAUCCGUUGACUGUGGGAAAAAUUUUGUACAAACUCUGCAGAGUCAUAUAUUCCUCCAAAUCAUCUCUUCCAUGUCAAGUUUCGUUCCUUCUUAUCCUAAUCAAUUGUCAGCUUUGAUGACAGAGACUCCAGUGAAUCGCAUGAGUGCUAAGUCCGGUUAAAUGAUCACUCCUGUGGAUGGACUAACCUGUUUGUUUCAUGAAUUGAAUGUUUAUUAUGAGUAUUAUUUACUUGUGAAUAAAAGCCCUUUAUGUGAUGUCGCUCAGACGUCCGACUGUGGCAUUUCUUUUUAAAGCCCUUUCUGCGAUGUCGCUCAGAUGUCCGACUGUGGCAUUUCUUUUAAAGCCCUUUCUGCGAUGUCGCUCAGACGUCCGACUGUGGCAUUUCUUUUUAAAGCCCUUUAUGUGAUGUNNNNNNNNNNNNNNNNNNNNNNNNNNNNNNNNNNNNNNNNNNNNNNNNNNNNNNNNNNNNNNNNNNNNNNNNNNNNNNNNNNNNNNNNNNNNNNNNNNNNNNNNNNNNNNNNNNNNNNNNNNNNNNNNNNNNNNNNNNNNNNNNNNNNNNNNNNNNNNNNNNNNNNNNNNNNNNNNNNNNNNNNNNNNNNNNNNNNNNNNNNNNNNNNNNNNNNNNNNNNNNNNNNNNNNNNNNNNNNNNNNNNNNNNNNNNNNNNNNNNNNNNNNCAGACGUCCGACUAUGGCAUUUCUUUUAAAGCCCUUUAUGUGAUGUCGCUCAGACGUCCGACUGUGGCAUUUCUUUUUUAAUGCCCUUUCUGCGAUGUCGCUCAGACGUCCGACUGUGGCAUUUCUUUUAAAGCCCUUUAUGUGGUGUCGCUAAGAUGCCCGACUGUGGCAUCAUUUUCCUUAUUUUUAUUUGUCCACCUUUCGAGGCGUCACUUCAGACACCCGAUCGGUCCUUAUUUAUGUUCUGUGGAAUUUCAGGCGGACUACCGCCGUUUUCCCUUUUUACUUACUCGUUAUGCCAGUUUUAUUUAUUGUGCAUUAAGGAAUUAAUCAUGUUGCAUCCAUGCAUGCAUUUGUUAUAUCUUACGUCCGAACUGUCUUGCGAGUACUUUCAAAGUACUCACUGGCUUGUUGAUUUGGCGAGAUGCUGACGAAGGCGAUCUCAUGGAUGAAGAGUUCGAUAGCGAGCCCGACACUUAGAGGAGUCCCAGUCAGUCUUGUGCGACCCUGGAUUUGGCCACUGAUUUAUAUCCGCUUCCGCUACCAAAUAAAUUCAUCGAGCCUCUCCUCGACGCUCGAUGAGAUGACAGACGUAGAGUCUUGUAUUUCUCUCCCCGCUGUGUUUUUCCACCCCAGCCUAUCCUUGAGACAGUAGUAUGUCUCCACACCACUGUGUUCUGUCAGCCAUUAUGUAUGAUUAUUGGCGUGCUUGUAAUAAUUUGGUUGAGCAACCGUAGUUCGACCCUGUAAUAUAUUUUAUGCUACUGGCUUAUUGUAUCAAGAAUUUUUCUGCCAGUGUGGAGGAUUUCUCUCAUACUGGACUUAAAAGAUUGGCUUUUCAAUAAAUAUUUUUAUUGGAAAACCGGUCGUGACAAGCUUGGUACCAGAGCCAGGAUGACUGUAGGAAGCCACUAGGUGCGAUCGCUAAUUGGUUAUUAGCCUGAUAGAGCUAAUUUUUAGUUUUGCAAUGGUAGUCAUUUUCUGUCAGUCAGCAUAAAUUUAUGAUCUGACCCUGCAGAAUUUUGCCUACUUUUGUAGAUGGCCGACGUCAGCUGCGAGUCUCAGACCUUCGCCAACGUACCCGAUGGGUUCGUCAAGCUUCUUUCUUCCAUCGUUCAGGUCGCGAUGGGGCCAUCCGUGCGCCCAGUCUUCACACUCUACCAGCAUCGAGUCAACGACAGUCUGACCAUGCACCAGGCCACGGUGCAGUUCAGGGGAGGGCGUGGUGAGUUACGCCGCUUCCGGUUCGUGGGAAGAUCCAUGCCUACGGAGAGGCAUGCUAUGCAGAUGGCAGCCCGCGUGGCGAUAGCUCGUCUCAGGGAUGUCCUUCCCGUGAUGAAGACUCGUCGUUACCGUUAUCUUCCGUGCCAUGUGCCUUACACCUGUCACUACGCAUACUCCUGCCCCAGAGGGGAACGAGACGAGGCUUUUGAGAUGCUCAUUGAGUAUCUCCGGGCCCUGGAGGCAGCCUUCGACAACCUGGUGGACGACUUCGUAGCUACCCGCAUGGACUCAGUCCAUGGCUGUGCUGCCAAUAGGAGGGAGCUCCUACCCAUCGCUUCGCCACCGACUUUUGUCUCGUCAUCAGCAUCUUUUACGCCUACUCGUCGCCUGCCUUCUACCGAAGAAUUUAACCAAGUCAUUGCACCCACUCCAGCGCGCACUACACCAACCUUCGCGCCCACUCCUGUACGUGUUGCUCCGCCCCUGGCAACCGCUCCGCCCGCUCUGCGCAACACUACACGUAUGCAGCCCAUUAGCGAGGAGGAGGUCGAGUCCCCAACCUCGCUACGCCUCGCCCUCGGUAGGGCAAGGGAGGUCGUCAACAUUUCUGCCUGAGUACGCUUAGCUGCCGUGUGUUGUACCGCUUUGUAAGAUAUGUGCAUAGGCUGGGAGAAGUAGCCUGUUUUCGCAUCAUGUAGGAUCUGGAGAAGUGCACUAGCCUUAAUAACAUGUCAGGAUUAGGUACGCAUAUCCUGAGUGAUGUACUGUAUAAUUACCGCCCGCGUGUAAGAUGUGUAAUGAGCAGUCCUUCUCCGUGUGCAAGUCGUUUUAUUUUAAGCUGAGUUAUUUAAUUCUAUUUGCCAGCCUUAUGUAUUUUAUGGAUUUGUUUUUGCGACUCUUUCCGCUUUUCUUAUGGGUUUUACAAAAUAUAUCCCCAGAGUGAAAAAUGUCUCGUCCUUGGACUCGCUCCAUGCCAAUUCCAUCAGAGGAAAAUUAUGAUGCACAACCCAGCAACGAGUUCACUCAGGGACAGUCAAGCCAACCGGGAAAUGAAUCGGCACUUUCACAAAUGUGCCGCCUUUAUGAACAGAGUCAGCAACAACAUCGUGAAAUAAUGAACCAAGUCAUCAACAUGGGAAAUCACCAUGGACAGUAUCAGCAACAUUCCAAGUUAUCUGAGCUACAGAAGACACGUCCUCAAUCAUUUUCUCACACUGACAAGCCUCUUGAAGCCGAGGACUGGCUUCGAGAUAUGGAGAGGAAAUUAAUUAUUGCAAAGUGUUCAGAUCUCGAGAAAGUACUAUAUGCUCCACACUAUCUCACAGGAGCAGCCGCAUCGUGGUGGGGGAAUUUUCUGCACAUGCAUCCCAACGAAAAUGACAUAACCUGGGAUGAUUUCAAGGAAGGUUUCCGUGGUGCACAUAUUCCAAAGAGUAUUAUGAAAAUCAAGAAGAGAGAAUUUGAUGACCUCAAACAAAGGAACAUGACAGUGUCAGAUUACAACAGUCAAUUUACCCUAUUAUCCCGCUACGCCAAUGAGGAGCGUAUGACUGAAAUUAAGAAGAUGGUGAAAUUCCUUGACGGUCUGGCGCCCGCACUUAAAUGCCAACUGGUCGUGCACACUUUUCCUGAUUUUAAAACGCUGGUGGACAAGGCCAUUACUCUGGAAAAUGAGAGACGCAGUCUGGAAGAUAUCCGCAAGCGAAAAAGGGACCAGACUAACCACACUCGCAAUCAUCGAAGCAAGAUAGAUUUUAAAAAGGGUGGGACACCCAAAUUCUCAUCCAAUGUCUCACGCCCAAUCAAGAAUUUUCAUGCAAGGGACAAGGAAUUCACCUAUCGCCCCGGCGUUACUUGUUACGCUUGUGGAGAAGAAGGGCACUAUGCCAAACAGUGCCCCAAGCCAAGGAAUUCAACCCCAAAGCCGAACAAUGGCGGCAAUAAUUCAGCGCCCAAACGAAACAAUUUCAAUCCCAACAAUAACCACAGGAAGGGUCAUCUGAACCACGUAACCAAAGAGGAGGCACAAAAUGCUUCGGAUAUCGUACUCGGUACGUUUCCUGUCAAUACAAUACCUGCAAUGGUUUUGUUUGAUUCUGGAGCUUCUCACUCUUUCAUCUCGAAAAGUUUUGCUUUGCAAAAUAAUUUUUCGAUGCUUCCUUUCGAGAAAUCCGUAAUAAUCAAGUUCCCCAGGAUUCAGCAAGUUUCUCAGAAAUUCCUGUCAGAAUGUGGUCAUUGAGUUUGAAGGAUUGGAGUUUUACGCAAAUCUUAUUGUAUUGGAAAAUAAAGGACUGGAUGUCAUCCUAGGGAUGGAUUGGCUAACCACCAAUAAAGGUUUUAUAGACUGUUUCAACAGGACCGUGAUUCUCACACACCACCAAGGGAAGACAAUAAGAGUAUCAGCCAAGGAAGGAAAAAGACCCCGGCAACCGAGGUUAAAUAAGGUGGACGUUUCUGAGCUAAACAAGGUUCCAGUAGUGUGUGAAUUUCCAGAUGUAUUCCCUGAAGAGCUGCCAGGCAUGCCACCAGAUCGAGAAAUAGAAUUCCGCAUUGAGCUAGCACCAGGAACCACCCCCAUAUACAAGAAACCAUACAGAAUGGCACCAUCCGAGUUGAUCGAAUUGAAGAAGCAGAUAAAGGAAUUACUGGAUAAAGGGUACAUUUGGGCCAGCUCCUCACCUUGGGGAUCACCAAUUUUAUUUACCAAGAAGAAGGAUGGGACGCUAAGAUUGUGUAUCGACUAUCGAGCACUUAACAUGGUCACAGUCAAAAACAAAUACCCGAUGCCAAGGAUAAAUGAUUUGUUUGAUCAACUUGCUCAGGCCAAGGUAUUCUUAAAGAUUGACUUAAGGUCAGGAUACCAUCAAUUGAAGGUACGAACGGAAGAUAUCCCCAAAACAGCCUUCACCUCCAGAUAUGGACUGUACGAGUUCACAGUGAUGCCAUUUGGAUUAACUAACGCCCCGGCAUAUUUUGUUCACCUCAUGAACAAAGUAUUUAUGAAGUUUAUGGACAAAUUCGUCGUAAUAUUCAUUGACGAUAUUCUGGUAUACUCCAAAACACCAGAAGAGCACGCAGAACAUCUCAGGAUUGUACUAGGAGAGCUAAGGAAACACCAAUUGUAUGCCAAGUUCAGCAAGUGCGAAUUUUGGCUAAGACAAGUGGGUUUUCUAGGCCACGUGCUGACUCAAGACGGUAUAGCAGUGGACCCAGAGAAAGUCAAGGCCGUACUUGACUGGAAGUCACCAGCCAGCGUAACAGACAUACGAAGUUUCUUGGGAAUGGCAGGGUAUUACCGCAGAUUUAUUGAAGGAUUUUCCACCAUAUCCAAGCCUAUGACACAGUUACUCAAGAAAGAUAAGAAGUUUGAAUGGACAGAAGCCUGCGAGAAAAGUUUCCAAGAGCUAAAGCGGAAAUUAACAAUAGCACCAGUAUUAAUUGUACCCGAUAUACACAAGAAUUUUGAAGUAUUUUGUGACGCAUCCAGAAAGGGUCUCGGAUGCGUGUUGAUGCAAGAAGGCAAGGUUGUCGCCUACGCUUCAAGGCAACUUCGCAAACACGAGGAAAAUUAUCCCACUCAUGAUUUAGAAAUGGCAGCAGUUAUUCAUGCACUCAAGGAAUGGAGGCAUUUUCUACUUGGGAAUCGAUGUGAGAUAUAUACGGAUCACAAAAGCCUCAAAUACAUUUUUACGCAGCCAGAACUAAAUUUACGGCAACGCCGCUGGUUAGAAUUGGUAAAGGAUUAUGAUGUUGGUAUCCAUUACCAUCCAGGGAAAGCAAACGUAGUGGCCGAUGCCCUGAGUCGGAACCCCAGCUCCGACGGGAACUAUCUGCACAGCUUGAGGCCCGAAUUCCAUCAAGAAUUUGUCAAGCUCAAUUUGAUAAUGGUAGCAGAAGGCACCAUAUCAAACUUGGAAAUACAACCACACCUUGUGGAGAAAAUUAAAGAGGCUCAGUCCGGUCACCCCAGCAUUGAAGGAAUUAAAAGGAUGUUGAGUAUGGGCAAGGCGUCGGAAUUCGUCAUAGACAACGAAGGAAUAUUAUGGUACGGAGAAAGGCUAUGCGUGCCAAACAUAGAAGACCUUAAACAGCAAGUUUUAACUGAAGCACGCACCACUCCAUAUUCGAUCCACCCUGGAGGAACCAAAAUGUAUAAGGAUAUUCAGGAAAGAUUUUGGUGGCACGGUAUGAAAAGGGACAUAGCCGCUUUCAUUGCAUGCUGCGACUCGUGUCAACGCAUAAAAGCUGAACAUCAGAGACCAGCCGGACUACUGCAACCUAACAAAAUACCUGAGUGGAAAUGGGAUGAAAUAGGGAUGGAUUUUAUUGUCGGAUUACCUCGGUCACGACACGGGAAUGAUGCCAUAUGGGUCAUCACUGAGAGGUUGACCAAAGUAGCACACUUUAUUCCAGUAAAGACAACCUACACCACUCAGAGGCUUGCCAGGAUUUAUCUUUCCCGCAUAGUCUGUCUGCACGGUGUCCCGAAGACUAUAAUUUCCGACAGAGGCACUCAGUUCGUCUCAAGAUUUUGGGAGCAAUUACAACAGGCUCUGGGAACCCAACUAGCCUUCAGUACCGCAUACCAUCCUCAGACUGAUGGACAAACAGAACGCGUAAACCAAGUUUUAGAAGACAUGCUGAGAGCAUGUGUCCUCACCUAUGGAACCAGUUGGGAGGACAGCUUGCCAUAUGCCGAGUUCGCAUACAACAACAGUUACCAGGCCAGCCUGCAAAUGGCUCCUUUCGAAGCCCUAUACGGAAGGAGAUGUCGUACCCCGUUAAAUUGGUCAGAGACCGGAGACAGCCGCAUCUUCGGACCAGAUAUGCUCAGAGAAGCCGAGGAAAAAGUCAAGCUAAUCAGGGACCGACUUAAGACCGCUCAAAGUCGACAGAAAAGUUCUUAUGAUCAGAAACAUCGUAGGGUCAGCUUCGAACCCGGUGAAUUUGUAUACUUGAGAGUAUCCCCGAUGAGAGGAUUGCAACGGUUUAAGAUUAAAGGAAAAUUAGCACCAAGAUUCAUUGGACCAUUUUGCAUAGUGGCACGAAGAGGCACUGUAGCCUACCAACUAGACUUACCCGAAGACUUGUCCGACAUUCACGACGUGUUCCACGUCUCUCAAUUAAGGAAGUGCGUAAGCAACCCAGAGAAACAAGUAUCUCAUGAGAACAUUGACAUACAGGCAGACCUCACUUAUCGAGAACGUCCCAUAAGAAUAUUAGAGGAGUCUGAAAGGAGGACCCGACAGAAAACCAUCAAGUUUUUCAAAGUCCAGUGGAGCAAUCACACCGACAGUGAAGCAACCUGGGAAAGCGAGGAUUUUCUUCGGACAGAGCAUCCACACUUAUUUAAGGAUCAGCUGAAAUCUCGGGGACGAGAUUUUUCCUAAGGGGGUAGGUGUUGUGACACUCCAAAAAUUUUACUUUGGUUUCAGCAAAAACUUUGUGGUUUUUGAAAAGAGGCCAUUUAAAAUUUUCCAGAAAAACCUUCCUCUUAAGAAACUUUCUUUUCUUUGGCAAGGUUUUUAUUCUGGCUUCAAACUUUGGUGUUUGACCUUUUUAAACUUCUUCUCUGUUGGUUCUCUCUCAAAAGUAUUUUUGGGAGUUUAAUCUUUUUCCUUUAAAAAGAAACUCCAUGAAAAUUUGGGAUUUUCAUAUCUUGGAACCACCAUGACUUGGCAUUCUUGCCCAUGUGGUAAAACCCCUCCAAAACCUCCCCUACAACUUGUGAUCAACCUAAAUUCUCUGUCCCAACUAAUCCAAACUGGUUUUGGAUUUUUAUUCCAAUUAUUUUUCCCUCAAUUCAAUUCUGAAAAUUAUUUGGAGCCUGAGAGAUUUUCAAAGCAAGUGCCCUAUUGCAUUUGAGUUUUGACCUCAAACCAAUUCUCCUGGAUUGUCCUUUGAACCCACAACCCAGAACCAUCUUGAUCCACUCCUCCUCUUUUCAAAUUUUUCAAAAUUCAGUCUCUGCAAGUUUGGACCAGAUUUGCCAAAUUUGGUGAAAUUCAUAUCUACACUCCUCCAAAAAUUCCACCAAAAUUCAGGCAGCCUAUUUGAGCAAGGAGAAGCCACUCCACCAAAAUUCAGCUCAAGGAAAAAUCACCAGAGGCCAAUUUCAUUCGGUCGAACACCUGGUGGGCACUGUUACUGUUCAUAGUUCAGAAAAUUCAGUUUUCAGUGUCAUCUUCGGUCCGUCAGUUUCAGUCACGCGGCCACAGUGCCCUUGGCACGUUCCUCGCUGCCUCUUCCUCUUGUCCGAAGCUGCACACGCGUGCGUGGAGCCUUCCUGGCAUCGGUAGCGCGCUGGCUCGCCCUCGCCGGCGUCUUCUGCGGCGUCGGGACCUCCCGUGGCGGCCGACAGGAGACACACCACGGCAGAACGCCGUUCCGCACCGCCCAUCGCUCCCUGGCUCUCCGCGUGGCCUCAUGCACGCCAGCGCACGCCCGUAGCAUAGCCACCGUGGCCGGCAAGCACGGAACGCGCUCUCCGCCGCCGACGGGCCCGCACCAUCACCGUUCCGUCGAGCUCGCCCUUAACACCCAAACCCCGGCCAGUUCAACACCAAAACGGACCCGUUGGACCUCCGUGAUGAUGCUCGACCCCAUAACCACCCCGACCGAGCACUGUGCCACCGUAAUCACUCGCCGGUGAUCCUCGUUCACGGCAACCGCCUCGGACCGCCUAUAUAACGGGGUCCCGAGCUCACUCUCGUGCACGCAGCACCUCCACUACUCACCAACACCCCGCCAGGCCACUAGGGGGACCUCGAGGAGGUCUCCUCCCCCAGCUCCGGCCGCCUCGCCCCGCCUCGGCCUCCAGCUCGAUUCACUUCGGUGAGGCCACCUCCGGCGCCCAAACCUCGUCCGUAGCCCUCUCUUGCACCCAGUAGUCUAACCCCCACCUCAAUUUAAUCUUUGCAGCCCUCUCCGACGUGCUCCAUCCACGCCCGAACCACCGUCCGCCGGAGUUGAGACCGCCGUCGACGUGCUGCUCACCGGCGACCAACACCACCACCCACCGUUGCGGAAGGAAACGGUGAGCACAUUGGUAACCUCUGAUCCCCAUGCCUCGCCGUGGAUCGCCGCCGGCGACCACAGCAGCUCUCGGGCGCCGACGAGCCUCGUCCCUCCCAUUUGAAGAUUUAAACAUGACAAGUGGGACCCGCUGUCAGCCUCUCUGUUCUGUCUAAACGAAGCGUUAUCUGAAAACGCCUUCUGCCAAAUACGUUUUCUCUUCGGGCUGGCGUAAUCGCUACCGAAGUGUUUUCUGCUUUUAUAAACUAGCCCCUGGAAAUCUUCUGUUUCAUUACAGAUAAGUCCCUGGACAAAAACCCUUAUAACUUUUAAUCAGAAAAGUAUUUUUGAUUGAUUCUUUUUCUGUUCUCUGUAAAAUUUUGUCUAGUUUUUUUAUCAGAUUUAUUUGAAAAAUAUUUGGUUUACCUUCUGUGCUCUCCUUGGUAUUUACGUUAGCGCAUAUAUCUUCUUUAAACGUAGAUACCGAAGGAGGUGACGGAGCCGCGAACUUCACCGAGCUAGGCUCCGACUACUUUGAACCAGGCAAGCAUGUUUGAACUUUUGAUAUGAUGAGUGUCUUGGCAUGUUUUGCAUUUAGUUAGUUUCAUGGCAUGCCGGUGAGUAUACCGAUGAACGUUAUUUUAUGUGAUAAUGAGGUAAGUGAGUUCGAUGAUCCAUACGUGGAUGAAUGUGAAUAUGAAUGGCCAUGUGUUGGCAUGAGGAUGGGUACGACGACAGUGUUGUAGCAUGCCAGUCUUACGCCAGACUAUGUGACUUCAGUGUCAAACCAUAUCGGUCCAGUACCUAUCAUUUCCUUCCUUGUACUACCACAUGUUUUCCGCAAGGAAUAUGGUUUAGUAAGUUCCAAACCGCUUUCAUGGUACACACCAAAGAGGAGAGGCCGUGAUGAUGGUUCCAUGGCCCUGGAUUAAAGCCAGUCAUCCGGUCAGGGGGCAUGGGUGUUUCCGGUUGGGACNNNNNNNNNNNNNNNNNNNNNNNNNNNNNNNNNNNNNNNNNNNNNNNNNNNNNNNNNNNNNNNNNNNNNNNNNNNNNNNNNNNNNNNNNNNNNNNNNNNNNNNNNNNNNNNNNNNNNNNNNNNNNNNNNNNNNNNNNNNNNNNNNNNNNNNNNNNNNNNNNNNNNNNNNNNNNNNNNNNNNNNNNNNNNNNNNNNNNNNNNNNNNNNNNNNNNNNNNNNNNNNNNNNNNNNNNNNNNNNNNNNNNNNNNNNNNNNNNNNNNNNNNNNNNNNNNNNNNNNNNNNNNNNNNNNNNNNNNNNNNNNNNNNNNNNNNNNNNNNNNNNNNNNNNNNNNNNNNNNNNNNNNNNNNNNNNNNNNNNNNNNNNNNNNNNNNNNNNNNNNNNNNNNNNNNNNNNNNNNNNNNNNNNNNNNNNNNNNNNNNNNNNNNNNNNNNNNNNNNNNNNNNNNNNNNNNNNNNNNNNNNNNNNNNNNNNNNNNNNNNNNNNNNNNNNNNNNNNNNNNNNNNNNNNNNNNNNNNNNNNNNNNNNNNNNNNNNNNNNNNNNNNNNNNNNNNNNNNNNNNNNNNNNNNNNNNNNNNNNNNNNNNNNNNNNNNNNNNNNNNNNNNNNNNNNNNNNNAUGUGAUGUCGCUCAGACGUCCGACUGUGGCAUUUAUUUUAAAGCCCUUUAUGUGAUGUCGCUCAGACGUCCGACUGUGGCAUUUCUUUUUUAAAGCCCUUUCUGCGAUGUCGCUCAGACGUCCGACUGUGGCAUUUCUUUUAAAGCCCUUUAUGUGGUGUCGCUAAGAUGCCCGACUGUGGCAUCAUUUUCCUUAUUUUUAUUUGUCCACCUUUCGAGGCGUCGCUUCAGACACCCGAUCGGUCCUUAUUUAUGUUCUGUGGAAUUUCAGGCGGACUACCGCCGUUUUCCCUUUUUACUUACUCGUUAUGCCAGUUUUAUUUAUUGUGCAUUAAGGAAUUAAUCAUGUUGCAUCCAUGCAUGCAUUUGUUAUAUCUUAUGUCCGAACUGUCUUGCGAGUACUUUCAAAGUACUCACUGGCUUGUUGAUUUGGCCAGAUGCUGACGAAGGCGAUCUCAUGGAUGAAGAGUUCGAUAGCGAGCCCGACACUUAGAGGAGUCCCAGUCAGUCUUGUGCGACCCUGGAUUUGGCCACUGUUUUAUAUCCGCUUCCGCUACCAAAUAAAUUCAUCGAGCCUCUCCUCGACGCUCGAUGAGAUGACAGACGUAGAGUCUUGUAUUUCUCUCCCCGCUGUGUUUUUCCACCCCAGCCUAUCCUUGAGUCAGUAGUAUGUCUCCACACCACUGUGUUCUGUCAGCCAUUAUGUAUGAUUAUUGGCGUGCUUGUAAUAAUUUGGUUGAGCAACCGUAGUUCGACCCUGUAAUAUAUUUUAUGCUACUGGCUUAUUGUAUCAAGAAUUUUUCUGCCAGUGUGGAGGAUUUCUCUCAUACUGGACUUAAAAGAUUGGCUUUUCAAUAAAUAUUUUUAUUGGAAAACCGGUCGUGACAGAUAUCCCCUUCCAAGUUGCAUUUGUUUUCCCGCCCUCCCACCCUCUUUUUCCCGGAGCCUGAGUCUCUUUCGAACAUCAAUUUUCAUUCGUGUGGAGCCUCUUCAGUCUUCCAUCAAUCAUUUCAUCUGGUGAACUCUCGUAUUGUUCGUCAUUCUUCAUCUCUUUUUUCUUUCCGGUGGAUUCAAUUCAAGUUUUUCGGUGUUGAUUAUAUUUUUUCCCUCGGCUCAAGUGUCUUCCCUGCUCGUUCGUCUCUCGCCAGUUUCUCCUUCCGGAGUGGUCAAGACAUCUCAGGAGAUUUGUCUGUGUUUGAGUUAAUUCGUGGUUGUCAUCUCAUUCAAAUAUUUCAAUUGUUCCGGUGCAUCAUCUAUCUGUUCAACAUCCUUUUUCAACGGUGCUUUCUCUUCAGUGGGCCCUAACCCACAGGUUUUUUCCCAGGAUCUUACCUGACUCUUAUGAUUUCCCCGGAGUUAUUCUCAAAUUCUUUUCAAGCCUGACGUAAGUAUGAAUUUCAUCAGUCAGAUGCCUUUUCCAAGAUCGAUUUCAAAUCAUUUCAUUGUUGGCCUAACCUCUCUGCUUUUCAUUCUACCGGAGUAUCUCAGUAAUUUUGGUGGUGUUUCUUGUCAUCAUUUGAAGAUCGAAGAAGAGUUUUUCCUCUAAAUCUUGUCUGUUCUCUCGAAGAUUCGUGGUUUUAGCUUCAUGCUAUCCUUUCGAAUUAUUCCAUUCGUCAGUUAAUCUCUUUCUCAACCAUCCGGAGUAUGUCAGGAGUUGUUUUUCCAUUUCUUUUUACCGGAGGCCAUCAUUCCAGUUACCGUUCUCUAUUUUUCCCGGUGCUUCAUUCAAGUGUUUUUAAUCAGCUCAUGAUCUCUUUGUUCUUUUGCAUCUAAAUCCCCUCUAGCAUAUUUGUUCUUAUAAUUCUUCCCGGUGAUUCAUUCUCUUUCAUCAGCCAUUUUCGAAUUCUUACGGUGGUUAGUUCAAGAUUCGUUUUCUUUGAUUAUCAUAUUAAUUCAUUCGUUCUUUCAAUCUUACCGGUGGUUCAUGAAGACUUUCUCAAGUUUUGUGCUAUGUUCCCCCUUAAUCCUUUUUCAACGAGAAUAAGUAGUAUGCAAAAAUCCAUUGCUUGUCAUCAAUUUAAUUUGAUGAAGGAUAAGCAUACAAUAAAUCUUAUUCUUAUUUCAUCCAAGUGAGUAAUCCUUUCCUUCGGAGUUUGUUCUUCAUGAAUAAAUUCUAGUUCCAAGUGUUUUUCAUCUUUUCUUUUCCGGAGUUCAAAUUUCCUCAGCCUUUUCAUCGGAACCUCCAUCUAUAUCAUCGCAAGGCUCGUCUGAUUCUUUCAUCCUUCAUUCUAUCUCAUCAACUUUUUUGUCACUGGAGUUCUUCUUGGUGGUUCUUCAUGAUUUAAUUCAUUCCUCAAGAGUUCAUCAAGUAUCAUUCCAUCUGCUUAAGUUCGUGUUCUAUUCUUUCCUUGUUCAACCGGAGUGCUGUCUAAAUCCUUUCAGUCUUAUUCGUUUCUUAUGUCGUUCUAACCGGAGUGGUUUAUUAGUAUAUCUGAUUCCGUGAGCUUUCGAUUCUCGUCAUUCUCGCCGUUCCUCUCUUCUUCUCGAGUGCUCUCGAUUCUUUGCUUCUUCUCUUGAGUUCUUGUUUCACCUCAUCCCUUUUCCCUUCCGUCUCGGUCCUAAGAUCUCGGGACGAGAUCUCUUAUCAGUGGAGGAGUGUUGUAACGCCCCGGAUCCGAUGCGCUAGGUGUCUGCAAGUUAUUCGCCGUUGUUUCCAUGUCAUUUGCUUGCGUGUAGCAUUUUAUCAUGUCGUCAUGUGCAGUUCAUUUUGCAUACGUGUUCAUUUCUUGCAUCCGAGCAUUUUCCCCGUUGUCCGUUUUGCAAUCCGGCACUCCUAUGCCCUCCGGCGUUCCCCUUUUGUCUCCUGUUGUGAGUGGGUGUUAAACUUUCUCGGAAUGGCCCGAGGUUUGCCAAGCGUCCUUGGUUUAGCACCGGUAGACCGCCUGUCAAGUUUCGUGCCAUUUGCAGUUCGGUUGAUACUCCAACGGUUAACCGGGUAACCGUAAAAGCCUCCUUCUCUUUGCAGCCCAACACCCUUCCAAAGUGGCCCAAAACCCAUCUAACUCCCCUCCAUGCUCUUGGUCGUUCGAUCACGAUCGUGUGGGCGAAAACCGCUCCUCAUUUGGACUCUCAUAGCUCCCUAUGCCUAUAUAAACGUCCUCCCCAUCCAUUUUCGCGGAUCAAACCCUAGCAAACUCCUCCCCGCGCCGCCGGACAUGUCCAUCCGCGUCGGACAUGUCCGCCGGACAUGUCGCUUCGACCAAUGGCGUCGCGCCACGUCACCCCGCCGUCACUCUCCUCCAACCGCCGGCCGCCACCUCACCCUCUCUCUCCUCCCUCCACCAUGCGGCCCGCGGGACCCGGAUUGGGCCCACGCGAGCCCGCGCCGCCGCCGUCGUCCGCCUCCUGGCCCGUGCCCCGGGCUCUGCCCCGCACCUCCUGGCCCGCUCGCCACUGCCGCCCUUCGCCGCCUCGCCGCCGGACUCCAUCACCGGCCAGCGCCACCAUCGCCGGCGCCCUGCGCAUAGCCCCAACCGCCGCCUCCUCGCCUCCGGCCGAACGCUGCCCUGGCGCCCCCGCGUCGCCCCGUCGCCCGCCUCUUCUCCGCCACCGGCCGGCCACCGGCCACCCCGCGUCCCCGACUCCGGUCGCCGGACCGGCCCCGCCUCAGCUCGCCGCCCCACCCGACUCCUGCCAGAUCCGGCCGGGAAUGGGUGCCCCGCGGACGGACCCGUCCUUCACCGGCUAUGUUACCGCUUUGCUCAGCCCUCUUAUAGCGUUGCUAGUUGCAGGUGAAGUUGAAGAUUGCUCCAUGGUGGACUGGAUUUUGGUUGGGAUAACACAAUAUCUCUUAUAUUAUUAAUGCAUCUAUAUACUUGGUAAAGGUUGGAAGACUCGGCCUUAUGCCUGGUGUUUUGUUCCACUCUUGCCGCCCUAGUUUCUGUCAUACCGGUGUUAUGUUCCCGGAUUUUGCGUUCCUUACACGGUCGGAUGAUUUAUGGGACCCCCUUGACAGUUCGCUUUGAAGAAAACUCCUCUAGCAAGGCCCAACCUUGGUUUUACCAUUUGCCUCACCUAGCCCUUUUUCCCUUGGGAGUCGCGCUCUCGAGGGUCAUCUUUAUUUUACCCCCCCCCCCGGGCCAGUGCUUGUCUAAGUGUUAGUCCAAACCGAGCGAUGUCCAGCGCCCCCUGGGCAACCAGGGUCUAUGCCAACCCGUCGUCUUGCUCAUCCGGUGUGCCCUGAGAACGAGAUAUGUGCAGCUCCUAUCGGGAUUGUCGGCGCAUCGAGUGGUCUUAUUGGUCUUGUUUUACCAUUGUCGAAAUGUCUUGUAAACCGGGAUUUCGAGUCUGAUCGGGUCUUCCUGGGAGAAGGUUUAUCAUUCGUUGAUCGCGAGAGCUUAUCAUGGGCUAAGUUGGGACACCCCUGCAGGGUAUAAUCUUUCGAAAGCCAUGCCUGAGGUUAUUGGCAGAUGGUAAUUUGUUAAUGUCUGGUUGUAGAUAACUUGACAUCAGAUCCGAAUUAAAACGCAUCAACCACGUGUGUAGCCGUGAUGGUCUCUUUUGGGCGGAGUCCGGGAAGUGAACACGGUUUCUGGGUUAUGUUUGCCGUAAGUAGGAGUUCAGGAUCACUUCUUGAUCAUUGCUAGCUUCACGACCGUUCCGCUUGCUCUCUUCUCGCUCUUAUUUGCGUAAGUUAGCCACCAUAUUUGCUUAGUCGCUGCUGCAACCUCACCACUUUACCCCUUCCUUUCCCUUUAAGCUUUGCUAGUCUUGAUACCCAUGGUAAUGGGAUUGCUAAGUCCUCGUGGCUCAUAGAUUACUACAACAACAGUUGCAGGUACAGGUUUUGUGAUGAUCAUGAUGCGAGAGCGAUGUUUGAUUGUCUGGAGUUCAUCUUUUGCUUCUUCUUCGAUCAGGGAUAGGUUCCAGGUCGGUAGCCUGGGCUAGCAGGGUGGAUGUCGUUUGAGUUUCUGUUUGUGUUUCAUCCGUAGUCGGAUGUUGAUCUUAUGUAUUGUGAUGUUGUAUUCAUGUGGCAUUGUAUGCCUUAUGUAUGUAUCCCCAUCUAUUAUGUAAUGUUGAUGUAAUGAUAUCCACCUUGCAAAAGCGUUUCAAUAUGCGGGUCUAUCCUUGGUGGGACCUUCGAGUUCCUUUUGGAUAGGGUCACAUAUUGGGCGUGACAAAAGGAAUGGGGGAAAGUAGUGGGGAAAGUUGUAUCGCAUAAAUCUAGGACGUGGUUCAAAGAGGAAAGGAAGGGGCGAAAGUACUAGUUCCAAAAGGAAAGGAAGGGACAAGGCUGUAGAGUUUGAGCAGGACUAGAUUUGCUGCGCUCACAUAGGGAAAGGUGUCUAAAGAUAACAAAACUGGGACCAACAUAAAUAUGCUCCUUGGUUGUUUGUUCUUUGUUGCAACAGACCGUGCAUGACCAUAGUACAUCGGUAGAUGCACAUGGUGCUGGUGCGACCACUGUCCCAUGCAACUCAUUAGUUGUUGUUAAUCUAAGGCCCUGUUUGGUUAAGAACUCCCUAGUCCCGACCUGCUUGGUUCCAGGGACUAAACAUGGACUAGAGGUUAUUAAAUGACAUGCUAAAAGACCAUGUUACCCCUAGUAAUGAACUAAUAGAAACAAGGUGCAAUGCGUGGCAGGGGAAACUGUUGGAAAAAGUCCCAAAAGACUCACUCGGGGUCUUCUUUCUUUAGUCCCAAAUGCCCACUUUUAGUCCCUAAAAGUCCCUCCUGUUUUGUUUAGAUGGGACUGACACGGAGUUUUUUUAGUCCCUACACCAAAAUGUCCCUGUAAACAAACACCCUCUAAUAAUGUCGCUGGAAAAUUGAUGCAAUGCCACAGUUAAAAGAAAAUUACAUGUUUAACGAAUUUUAUUGUUAAUAUAAUCUCUAUGUUAAUAUUAAUCAAUGCCAGCGUUUGAGAAAUGCUACUAUCUUGCUUUCUUUCCCAUUUAGAUAAGGUAGAUGCUUCUUUUUGUUGGCUUCUGUGUCAUCCACUGUUAUUGACCACUAUUUGUUUCCUUUGCACCUCUGUGUAAACAUGGUUAUCUACUUCACCUCGUUGCCAUUGUGACCUUUUGCUGCACUGCACAAAACACUUUUGUUUUAAGAGUGUUUUGUGCAGUUCAACCAAAAUGUCACACCGAUAACGUUGCUUGAUUGCUUGAUCUUAGUGGAACUGCACAAGAGGAGAUCUUACUUCCUAUCCGUUAAGGCGAAUUUGGUUCAGAUCUUCUUCUUGUGAGUUGUUUGAAUUCUGCAUCAUGAGAGGUCAGUACUAGCCUUCUGCAGUGUGCUUUCAUAUGUUGUGCUACUUGUACGAUAAUGUUGCUUGAUUUUAGUGAACUGGGAAAAUGGAGACAAGACUUCCAAUCUGUAUAUGCACCGUAAUAUCCCAUUGAGGUAAGAUAAGGAUAUUUCACAACUGCUGGCCUAUAUUUUGCCACUUUCAUCAGAAAAUUGAGUUUACUACUAUACUUGUGCUCCCUAAUUGACGUGCCAAAUCUUACAUUGAAGGCGAAGCUCGUCUGUUAUUAAACCAAGUGAUGAAGCGGAAGAACAAGCGGAAUAAAAACAAAAAUCAACUCCCGGUGCUGUAAUGAAGCACUGGAACUGUGAUGACACAACUAAUGAUAUAGUUUUGCAUCUUAAUUUAUUGCUAUGGCUGGAACGAGCAAUUGUUUUGCCACUGAUUUGAUGCCAUAUGUAAUUAUCUCUAUGUGUGCAAAUAGGGAUCUUCUUUGAAGAUACCAUAUAUUUUAGUGGAACUGCACAAGAAGAUGUUGGAAACAUUAAACUAAUCAAGGAGUAUAUAGUAAGCAUGGCCACCCCCGUAGAUAGAAACAGGUGGUUCCGGAGAAGUGCUUCAUCUGUAUGCUCUACACAAUCAGCCUCCUGACAAAGGUUGGUACUUGCCCACUGAUUUCAUCCAUUUGAUUGAGCUUUGUCAUCUCUAUUGGUGUUGUGCUACUGUUUAGAUACUAUCAUGAAAAAGUGGUAUUGUCGUUGAGAAGUGCUUCAUCUAUGUUGUUUUAAAUAUUUCCUUUCCUUUUUUUCGAGCAAACAGGGAUGCUAGCAUUUAGUAGUCCUCUUUCCUUUGCACAACAAGAUCAUCUUCCUCUGAAGAAGAAUAUGGAGUACAUGAAGUGACUAGUUCCGAUUAUGCCAGGAUGAAGGAGCCCUGUCUAUCUUCUCAUCAGAAGGAGCGGUUGAAGGAUGGUUACAUUACUCCCCACAAGACCAAACUAACUUCAGCUUAGAAGGACUGAAAAAUCUCCAUUUUUUUGUUGUGAGGCGCGAGUACAAUGUUGUUCUAGGAUUCUUUCUAGUGAGUUCCAUUUUUCUAAAAGUGUGCUAUACAUGGACCAUGUAUGUGCCUGUUGAAACUGUCAAUUCAUAGUAUAGUUUGCUUUAUACUAAUCACUUUUUUGUAUUUGUCCAAACAGGGGUGCUCAGCUUGAUUUCAAUGCGAACUGCACAAAAUGUUCAUGAAUACAUCGAAUCAUUCAUUUCCACCACAAGAAAGGAGGUGCCCAUAAGUUCAAGGCAUUGCAACAUAUAAGGGCAAAAUCAUACAAGCUAUGAGCGAAUUUGGUUGAUUUUGGUGGAACUACACAAAAAGAACAACUGGUUUAUUUAGCACGAGGUUCCAUGUCAAUGUGCGAACUGAUGGCAAACCCUGCCCAUUGCACAAUCGUAGGCAUUUGAUAUUUUGGAAUGGGACAACCUUGUCAAAUUUUGCUCAUUUAUUUUAGCAAGAUAUGUGUUUGAUAUUUUCAAAUGCGACGCCCUUUGCUUUCAGCAGCGUGGAUCAAUUUUUUCUUUAUUCUUUAGUUGUGAAGUAAAUAUUGCAUCUGACAUGUGAGUCGCUGAGAUGCAUAAUCAUCGAUUGUUUUGAAUGUUCUCUAUGAAUUGCCAGGCCUUUGUGUUUGAUUGCAAUGUACAGAAACGCUAAAAAGCUGCUCAAACUCUUUGUACUCCUUCUGUUCCUUUUUACUUCGCACAUUGUGGAAGUGCAUACUUUUUUGUAUAAGAUUGGUCAAAGUAGAGAUACUUUGACUACAGACAAAACUUGCAUGCAGACUAGAAAGGUCCGAAGGGAGUACAUGUGAAACUGCUGCAAACGAGGUGAUCAUCGUAGUAGUACGUAUUGUUUUGCAUGUUCAUUCAAUGCUAGUGAUACAAGAAUUCGAACUAAUCAAAAUAAAUUCAUUCAUACACGGUCGGAUUUCAUAUAAACAUGUCGGAUUUCAAUACAUUUCAUACAUUCUUCAACCAAAAAGGGGUGCGCUAGAGGUAUAAUUAAUUAACUGAAGCUACCCACCUGUGUACCGCUGAGCCGAACAGAAGCUUCAGUGACUUAACUACAGGUGCGGUUGCGUAACUGACAUGUGGCCUGUUGGGCCAAUGUGUCAGUCAACCAACUGCACUAGCAAUUAAGUAGAAGCAACGUUCUUCUCCAGCGUAGCUCUACGACUCCACGUCGCCGCCAAUAAGCUAAUCGGACAUCAAUGGUCAACCUGCCUAGCUUGGCUUCAACCGGAGCGUAGCAGCGGUGGCCUUACUAGGACCCGAGCGGCGGCGACCUACCGUGUUCUACUCUUCCUCGUUUUCUGUGUGGCACGGCCUCGUUGGCAGCGGGGCGGGGCCUCGGCGGAGCCGGCGAUGUCCUCUGUCUCAUUGCCGGCGGGUGGUGCAUCAGCGGAGCGGUGGAAAUCCUCCCCCACGUUGCCGGCAGGGUGGGGCCUUGGCUGAGCCGGCAAUGUCCUCUGCCUCGCUGUUGGCGGGGCAGGGCCUCGGCGGAGCCGGCGGUGUCCUCUGCCUCGUUGUUCGCGCCGCGGGGCCUCAGCGGAGCAGGGCCUCAUCGAUGCCAGUGGAGCGGGGACUCGUCGGAGCCAGCAUUGUCCUCUGCCUCGUCCUCGGUCUCACCAAACAGCGCCUCGCCCGCUUCAUCGCCCUCUUUGCUAGCCUCUUUGUAGGCGGCCGCAGCCUCCGCCACCCGCAUGCGGUACUGCCAGCGCUCGAGGCGGCCCUUGCGGAUAGAGCGGUAUGAGUCGAGCAGCGCAUCCAGCUCCGCCCGCUCCGCGGCGAUCUGCUCCUCCGCUUGCAAGUGCUCCUGGAGGAGAUGGUGGUUGUAGGCGGCAUCGGCCUGCGCCUUCCGGAAGUACUCCUCACGCAUCUGCCUCACCCUGUCCAUAUAUUGGGCACGUGCCUCGCUGAUGGUCAUGGUGCAAUGCAUGGGCGAGGAUGGCGCAGACGAGGGGGUUGGCGCCGGAUCGUCGAAUACCAUGUUCUCCAUUGGGACAUCGUCAUCCACCGACUGCCUGCCGGCCAGCCGGUCGGCAACAAUGGCUGCCAUCUCCUUGUGGUCCAUCGUCCGCCCAUCCCGAAGAGCGCUGGAGCGCGAGGAAGCCAUGGUGGGCAGUAGUGGUGUGGACAGGAUAAAGGGAACGAAUGCGGAUGACUGCGGCUAUGGCCGGCGCAGCAGUUUAUAUAGCAAUGGUGGGCGGGCGGAGCGACGGACGUGUGGCGCCGGAGUAGCCGCCUCGGCAACCGCGUAUCAUUAAUGUGUGCGGCAGAUGGACGAACGGACGACAGUUGUGUCAUUUGAAGGCGGAGCAAUCGCCUGCACCGGGAAGCGGGUCGGCCGGCGUUGACUGUUUCGGUUGAAAAGUGUGCGCGGGCGAGGAGAUGACUUUACUUGGAGGAUGACAAUGGGGACCCACCAGGUCCAUAGCCUCACGUACGCAAGUGCCUCCUUAUUAUAUUAGCAAAAUAACUAUUCUGCACACCACUUCCGCACUGCAUGCUGAACGCAAGUGCACGUCAUUCUCUGAAUCAAGUGUGUUGAAGUACUCACACGAGUGAACUUCUCGUCGGAAAAAAACUGCACGCGUUAUUUUUUCGGUACUCUUUUCACUCUAAUUUUUUAACCGUUUAUCGGAAUGAGGCGUGCAAUAUACCGUUGAAAAGCUAUGGAUUAGGCGCAACUUCUACAUGUUGAACACUUUUCGAGAUUCCACACGGUUUAAGAGCAGUUUUGAAAAUGGUGCAGCGGAUGACGAGUGGCAGCGAGUGUUUUUUCACGUUUUUUUCAAACCGCUUGUUGGAAUGAAGCAAAUGAUACGCCAUUGGAUAGAUAUCGUCCAGGUGCAUCUUUUUCAUAUAUAAAUCUUUCUCUAAUUCGUUACGGUUUAAGAGCAGUUUCAAAUUUCCUAAAUCGCGGAAUUCUGUUUUUCAGGUUUUUUAAAAUUUUCGGUACUGUUUUCGCUCCAGUUUUUGAACCGUUUGUCGAAACAAGGCGUGUGAUACGCCGUUGAAAGCUACGAACGAGGCGCAACUUUCAUAUGUAGAACUUGUUUUCAGAUUCAUUACAAUUUUAAAUUAAUUUUGAAAAUGGUGCGGCUGCCGGCGAGUGACAGCGAACAUAUUUUCGUAAAUUUGUUCAUCGGAAUGAUGCAAAUGAUACGCCGUUGGAAAGAUAUCGACGAGGCGCAACUUUUUCAUGUAGAACACUCUGUCUAAUUCUUUAUGUUUUAACAGGAAUUUCGAAUUUACCGAAAUGCUGACACUCUGUUUUUCGCGACACCCAAAUCGACGUGGUACUUCAUCCGACUGAAAACCGCACUGCAACAGACGAAAAACAGCACUGCAUCACACGGGUAAGAGAACUGCAUGGUUUCUUUUAUUCAAACAUAAUUUUUUCAAGAACGAGAAAGUAGAGUGCACUUAACAUCGGGUGUAAAUGAACCACAACACUAUCAAGAAGUGAACCGCAUUACUUUUUUUCGCUUUCGUAACAAUUUUUUUGCAUUUACAGGAUGAACAACAUCAUACGACCGACCGCACUGCUUGAGACUGAAAACCGCACUGCAUCGGAUGGGCAAGCGAGCUGCAUAAUUUGUUUUGUCGGACGUAAAUUUUCUAAGACAAGACGGUGAACCGCAACACCAUCGAGAAGCGAACCGCGGCACUACCGAAAGUGAACCUCAUGAGUUAUUUUUUUGUCUUUUUUCAUACUUACUAUUUUUUUACGCACGUAGACCAAGCAAAUAGACCACAUGGACUGAGCGAGUGAGCUGUAUCUAAUAAGAAGUGAGCUACUUUUGAGAUGUUUUGGUUUCUAUUUAACUUCUUCUGUAAACUCGUCUCGACUACAUGAUCAAUGUGUGUGAGCUGCAUGAAUGGGGCAAGUAAACUGCAUUAAAAAUUACAUUUGCAUGAAAAGAAUGUUAUGUCCCACCAACAUUCUUUGAAUAAAUUAUCAAACAAGUUAACCGCACAAAACAAAAACAAAGUACUGCACAACCAAGCUAACAAAAUUGCACUAUCUACGGCCGCUGAUGAUCCUCAUAGACACAAUACAUCCAUUUGUAGGUUUACUCAGCCACACACACAUACAUACACACAAAAUCAACACUAGCACCUGGCAGAGCUGCAAUUGAGGAUCAACGGAACUGUAUUUGGGGACCAAGCGAGCCGCACUAGAUCAGAAACCUACAAAUAUAGCCAAAGAUGAAACUAGCUCACCAGCAAACUGAACUUCAAGUGAACAAUGAUGCUCUUUCUCUUUCUUACUGAGUGCACUUCAAAUUAUUUCCAGAAAAAUAAUACAGUAUAAAAAUUGAUGAACUACACACUGAAGCACCCGUUGACGAACUGCACAGCCACGACUUCAGCAAGAAUUUCCACUUCACAAUGAGCACCUCCUCG